GGGUCGGAUCAAAGUCGUACUUUGCGCAAUUUUCCGCGUAGAAGCUCCGGUGCUUCGCUUCAUUCUCUUCGCUCCGACACUCUCUCUCUCUGUGUUCGUAUUUUCCGUGGAGUCAUCAAUGGAGUUCGGUGCAGUUGCAGCAGAACCCUAGCCCUCCCGCGACGUCAACGGCGGCAUCUUUCAUGCGCUUCUCCUCGGAUCAUCUUCAUUCCAUCUCUCGGUCGCUCUCUCUCUCUCUCUCCAUCGAAGCUCGUGGACUGGCGAUCCUCCUCUCGCGGACCUCGUCUUCUCUCGGCCGACUCAGCGCUCGAAGCUCAUUUCGAAGACAAGUACGUGGCACGUUCCCCUUUGUCGUAUUCCCUGAUUGUGGAUGGAUUAUCUUCGUCGCACUAACUGGUAUGGUAUUCUCAAUCACGAGUGGAAAACGUAAUCCAGUCGAAGCGGUUGAAACGUGGUGUGGAUAUUUUCUGAUGUUCGCGAGGAAGUCGUAAUGCAUGAGGAAACAUGACAGCGCUACCAAACAAGAGGCCAGGGAUUAGCAGAUGAUGGGGUUGCUAAGGUACAUUCUCUUUGUAAAGGAUGUCUUAGAAUGGUCCUUAAUAAGGAGGCUGAAAAAAUUCAUCAAGCUAUUGUCAACCUCAGUGUACUUCUGCUACUCAGAAUGCAGCAAGGACAACUGUGCGCAUUUUGGAAAGUUUGAUUCACCUAGCUGAAAGUAUGAUACCAUCAAUAUAUGGCCAUGUUCUUAGAGUAUAUACUAUUUUGUGCCGCUAAAGAAUGUUUCAAGGCCGAUUAUAUCACAUGCAAGAUUAAUGUUCAGAAAUGAAGUUACCUAUCUUGAUCCAAUUGCAUCCAUUAGCCAUUGUGGGCAGCAUUUGAAAUGCUCUUCACGCCAUUUUUGGUGAAAAUCCUGAUCAUGAAAUCCUUGUCUGUUCCUAGUCCUAUUAUCAUUCAUCCAUGCACAAACUCAAUCGUUGUACUUAUUUUUAUGCAUAUGUCAGCUCGCUUUACCUAGAAGCGUGUGUCCAUGUUUUGUGUUGGCUUUCAUAGAUUUGUGACUUAGCAGAACUUUUGUUACCCACAAAAAGAACUAACCAGCGGUGAGAUCGAGAAACUUAAUAGCUUUUCUAGAUUCGAUGAGUUUUGCCUCUAAGUUGGGUAAUUCUGUAAAAUAUAGUUGUGAAUGAGCUUUCAAGACAAUGAUAAUCA
Long non-coding RNA from Eucalyptus grandis, 1209 nucleotides. RefSeq lists it as uncharacterized. The transcript has 5 exons. The record is from RefSeq and is a predicted model, not a curated record. NCBI's taxonomy places the organism in Eukaryota, Viridiplantae, Streptophyta, Magnoliopsida, Myrtales, Myrtaceae.